Molecule: unclassified non-coding RNA, 343 nt
Filed under: soil metagenome
Description: partial contains 5.8S ribosomal RNA, internal transcribed spacer 2, and large subunit ribosomal RNA
Rfam family: 5.8S ribosomal RNA (bases 1-120)
Source: RNAcentral
GAUGAAGAACGUAGCGAAAUGCGAUAAGUAAUGUGAAUUGCAGAAUUCAGUGAAUCAUCGAAUCUUUGAACGCACAUUGCGCCCGCUAGUAUUCUGGCGGGCAUGCCUGUCCGAGCGUCAUUUCAACCCUCAAGCCCCCGGGCUUGGUGUUGGGGAUCGGCGAGCCUCCGCGCCCGCCGUCCCCUAAAUCUAGUGGCGGUCUCGCUGUAGCUUCCUCUGCGUAGUAGCACACCUCGCACUGGGAAACAGCGCGGCCACGCCGUUAAACCCCCAACUUAUGAACGUUUGACCUCGGAUCAGGUAGGAAUACCCGCUGAACUUAAGCAUAUCAAUAAGCGGAGGA